ACUUUAGUUUUAAAAGGCCUAAAUACUAACUUAAAUGAAUCAAUCAGAGAACCCCAAUUUUGAAAGGAUUAAUGUGAAUUGUAAGAAUCAUUAUCCAUAUAUAGCUAGCAUUAAGUAAAACAAAAAUAAGAAUUCCUUCUUUUCAGUU
Molecule: long non-coding RNA, 148 nt
Organism: Hibiscus syriacus
Lineage: Eukaryota; Viridiplantae; Streptophyta; Magnoliopsida; Malvales; Malvaceae
Exons: 3
Source: RefSeq, a predicted model, not a curated record